This 78-nucleotide transfer RNA is filed under the name Lysobacter arseniciresistens ZS79. Its description in RNAcentral is "tRNA-Met". Lineage: Bacteria; Pseudomonadati; Pseudomonadota; Gammaproteobacteria; Lysobacterales; Lysobacteraceae. The record is from RNAcentral.
GGCUAUGUAGCUCAGCCGGUUAGAGCACAGCACUCAUAAUGCCGGGGUCACUGCAGUAGAAAUCUGAAAACUUGGCUA